Molecule: ribosomal RNA, 497 nt
Filed under: uncultured bacterium
Lineage: Bacteria
Description: partial 16S ribosomal RNA
Rfam family: Bacterial small subunit ribosomal RNA
Source: RNAcentral
GAUGAACGCUGGCGGCGUGCCUAAUACAUGCAAGUCGAGCGAACAGACGCUGUGCUUGCUGCUCUGACAUGAGCGGCGGACGGGUGAGUAACACGUGGAUAACCUGCCUAUAAGACUGGGAUAACUUCGGGAAACCGGAGCUAAUACCGCAUAAUAUAUUGAACCGCAUGGUUCAUUAGUGAAAGACGGUUUUGCUGUCACUUAUAGAUGGAUCCGCGCCGCAUUAGCUAGUUAGUAAGGUAACGGCUUACCAAGGCAACGAUGCGUAGCCGACCUGAGAGGGUGAUCGGCCACACUGGAACUGAGACACGGUCCAGACUCCUACGGGAGGCAGCAGUAGGGAAUCUUCCGCAAUGGGCGAAAGCCUGACGGAGCAAUGCCGCGUGAGUGAUGAAGGUCUUCGGAUCGUAAAGCUCUGUUAUUAGGGAAGAACAAAUGUGUAAGUAACUAUGCACGUCUUGACGGUACUUAAUCAGAAAGCCACGGCUAACUACGUG